This 64-nucleotide microRNA precursor is filed under the name Chlorocebus sabaeus (green monkey). RNAcentral describes it as "miRNA (ENSCSAG00000021513.1)". Lineage: Eukaryota; Metazoa; Chordata; Mammalia; Primates; Cercopithecidae. The record is from RNAcentral.
UCUACUUCUCCCGCGCAGGGGAAAAAAGGUGGGAGAAGCCCGGGCAGAGGUUAAAGCUGCUCCU